RNAcentral lists this ribosomal RNA (468 nucleotides) under uncultured bacterium. Its description in RNAcentral is "partial 16S ribosomal RNA". It matches the Rfam family "Bacterial small subunit ribosomal RNA", at positions 28 to 507 of the family's 1533-position model. The record is from RNAcentral.
GACGAACGCUGGCGGCGUGCUUAACACAUGCAAGUCGAACGGAAAGGCCCUGCUCUUGUGGGGUGCUCGAGUGGCGAACGGGUGAGUAACACGUGAGUAACCUGUCCUUGACUUUGGGAUAACUUCAGGAAACUGGGGCUAAUAUCGGAUAGGAGCUCCUGCUGCAUGGUGGGGGUUGGAAAGUUUCGGCGGUUGGGGAUGGAAUCGCGGCUUAUCAGCUUGUUGGUGGGGUAGUGGCUGACCAAGGCUUUGACGGGUAGCCGGCCUGGGAGGUUGACCGGCGACAAUGGGACUGAGAGACGGCGCAGACUCCUACGGGAGGCAGCAGGGGGGAAUAUUGCACAAUGGGCGGAAGCCUGAUGUGGCGGCGCCGCGUGCGGGAUGACGGCCUUCGGGUUGAAAACCGCUUUCGCCUGUGACGAAGCGGGAGUGACGGUAAUGGGUAAAGAAGCACCGGCUAACUACGUG